AGGGAGGGAGGGUCGGUGAGCGAGAUGAAAAAGUGAGGGCUGAGUGGAAGGAACAGUGAAACGAAGCAGUCAGUCCUGACUGGAGUUGAGUGGAGUGGAGGAGAACAAGCAGAGAGAGAAACUGAAAUAAGCAACCAGGAGACGUGAGUUUCCGUCUUUCAGCUGGCACAUCUUUAACCUCUUCAGCCUGAGCCGUGAGACAUCUGACAGACUCCACACCCAGAGAAAUACAGAUUUUACUGCGAUGACAGCUUCAGCAGAUACCGCAAAGUUAGUGACUUUGGAGAACAGUGUGAUGGAGGGCAGCAGUACCCCAAAGUUCAUGCCUCCUGGUCAGGGAAUGAUGUCGCCCAUGCCGGGGCCUCGGCUACCCGUUCACCUGGAGAAGAUGCACAGCCAGACAGACUCUUUCCUCACUGCAGCGCGGCUUCUCCGCGGAGGAUGGCUGGAAGGAGAAAAGAAAACAUGGCAAUUUUCUCAUGUUGACUUGUCAGUACAUAAAGCAAAUUCAGAAGAAAAUAAUCAUGCCAAGACUUACCUCCACGACGCCAGGAUCAGAUCAGUUCCCGUUAUGAACAGAGGGCAGAUGGCUGAUGACAAAGAGAUGGGCACAGAAAAAGAAACAGACAAGGCAAAGCAAAGGCGUGAAGGUGCAUUCUCAGCCAACAAACAAGCAGGAAGACAGACGGGUGCUGUGCGUGUCUGGACAUCUCACUGUCGCAUCAUCAGCAGAAAAUCCAGAUGUUUUAAAGCGCCGAUACUACCAGCAAUCACUGAGAUUUAGACUCCAGUUUUAAGUCUUGUGUGAUUUUGUGAUUAAAUGUACAGGUGUAUAGAAUGUAAUGAACCUAUAUUUUCUCUUUAAAUUGAAAACAUUUGCAAAUCUAACUGUUACCGUGAACUUGCAGUUCAGAAUAAUGAAGAGUGUGAACUUUAAGGUCUGUUAGCAGGUUAUGUUUUAUUUUAACAGACUAAAAAUUUAUUAGGAAUUUGAUAAUUCGCAGGCUAAAACGGUUACUCGGCUUUGAUGCAAAAACUCAUUUGUGCUAAAAUUCCCAGUAGAUACCUGUCUAUCUAUAUUUCUUUAGGUUAAAGUAAGUACUCAAUUUGACCUUUGCAAGCUGAUAAUUACUCAGAUUUAAACUGUUACUUCAUUGUUCUGAGAAAUGAAAAUGAAACCUAGGAGCAUGGUUCUGACAGUGAACACGAUUAACUAUUUAAAUGAAUAUUUUCAAAAGUAAAAUACUUGAUAAACACUUGUCCGUGAGCCAAAGGUGGCCCACCAGAGGGUCUAAUCUGACCUGCAGGAUGAAUCUGCAAAGUGUAAAACUGAUAUUGAAAACUACAAAUAACUGCAACCUUCUGCAAGUUUUAGUGAGAGCUAAAUAGAAAUUACAUUUGUUUUAUUGAAUGAAUGUCCAGUUGUUCAUUACAUGUUUUGUAAGCGUCCUUCUUUGCAGUAAAACGAAGAUAAACACUG
Molecule: long non-coding RNA, 1480 nt
Organism: Mugil cephalus (flathead mullet)
Lineage: Eukaryota; Metazoa; Chordata; Actinopteri; Mugiliformes; Mugilidae
Exons: 3
Source: RefSeq, a predicted model, not a curated record